This 246-nucleotide long non-coding RNA is filed under the name Gossypium barbadense (sea-island cotton). Its description in RNAcentral is "long non-coding RNA (GBAR_LNC011526)". The record is from RNAcentral. Lineage: Eukaryota; Viridiplantae; Streptophyta; Magnoliopsida; Malvales; Malvaceae.
UGAUAUUUGUGUGAAAUGUGUGAAAUUGUGAGUUUCCAUAAGCAUGAAAUAGGUUCGGCUAAGCUUGGUUAAUAAGGAAAUUUGAUAAAAAUAUAUUUUCGGGCCUAGGGGUAAAAUGGUCAUUUUGUGAGAGUCUAGGGGCAAAAUGAUCAUUUUAUCCAAAAUAUAAAUUUUCAAGUGUCUAGAUUGAUAUGCUGAUUAAAUGAAUGAAUUUUCCAUUUUAGAUCAAGAAUUACAAAAUCCAGG